ACAGGGAUUGCCCUAGUAACGGCGAGUGAAGCGGCAACAGCUCAAAUUUGAAAUCUGGCGUCUUUGGCGUCCGAGUUGUAAUUUGCAGAGGGCGCUUUGGCAUUGGCAGCGGUCCAAGUUCCUUGGAACAGGACGUCACAGAGGGUGAGAAUCCCGUACGUGGUCGCUAGCCUUUACCGUGUAAAGCCCCUUCGACGAGUCGAGUUGUUUGGGAAUGCAGCUCUAAAUGGGAGGUAAAUUUCUUCUAAAGCUAAAUACUGGCCAGAGACCGAUAGCGCACAAGUAGAGUGAUCGAAAGAUGAAAAGCACUUUGGAAAGAGAGUUAAAAAGCACGUGAAAUUGUUGAAAGGGAAGCGCUUGCAGCCAGACUUGCCUGUAGUUGCUCAUCUGGGUUUUUACCCAGUGCACUCUUCUAUAGGCAGGCCAGCAUCAGUUUGGGCGGUUGGAUAAAGGUCUCUGUCAUGUACCUCUCUUCGGGGAGAACUUAUAGGGGAGACGACAUGCAACCAGCCUGGACUGAGGUCCGCGCAUCUGCUAGGAUGCUGGCGUAAUGGCUGUAAGCGGCCCGUCUUGAAACACGGACCAAGGAGUCUAACAUCUAUGCGAGUGUUUGGGUGUCAAGCCCGAGCGCGUAAUGAAAGUGAACGGAGGUGGGAACCUUUCGGGGUGCACCAUCGACCGAUCCUGAUGUCUUCGGAUGGAUUUGAGUAAGAGCAUAGCUGUUGGGACCCGAAAGAUGGUGAACUAUGCUUGAAUAGGGUGAAGCCAGAGGAAACUCUGGUGGAGGCUCGCAGCGGUUCUGACGUGCAAAUCGAUCGUCAAAUUUGGGCAUAGGGGCGAAAGACUAAUCGAACUAUCUAGUAGCUGGUUCCUGCCGAAGUUUCCCUCAGGAUAGCAGUAACGUUUUCAGUUUUAUGAGGUAAAGCGAAUGAUUAGAGGCCUGGGGGUUGAAACAACCUU
RNAcentral lists this ribosomal RNA (960 nucleotides) under Ascochyta medicaginicola. RNAcentral describes it as "partial large subunit ribosomal RNA". It matches the Rfam family "Eukaryotic large subunit ribosomal RNA", at positions 68 to 1048 of the family's 3401-position model. RNAcentral also lists the same sequence under 1 other name. The record is from RNAcentral. Lineage: Eukaryota; Fungi; Ascomycota; Dothideomycetes; Pleosporales; Didymellaceae.